RNAcentral lists this transfer RNA (72 nucleotides) under Gymnodraco acuticeps. Its description in RNAcentral is "tRNA-Pro". Lineage: Eukaryota; Metazoa; Chordata; Actinopteri; Perciformes; Bathydraconidae. The record is from RNAcentral.
CAUAGAGUAGUUUAGUUUAGAACUCUAGCUUUGGGAGUUAGGGGGGGGGGAGUUAAAAUCUCCCCUCUUUGA